CAGCGCCACGAGUGGGAACCGCUUUUAUUGGGCCUAAAGCGUUCGUAGCCGGUUUUGUGAAUCUUUUGUGAAACUGUUGAGCUCAACUCAACAACGUGCAGAAGACACUGCAAAACUUGGGACCGGGAGGAGUCAGAGGUAUGUCUGGGGGAGCGGUAAAAUGUUGUAAUCCCAGAUAGACCACCUGUGGCGAAGGCAUCUGACCAGAACGGAUCCGACGGUGAGGGACGAAAGCCAGGGGAGCAAAACGGAUUAGAGACCCGUGUAGUCC
This 271-nucleotide ribosomal RNA is filed under the name uncultured archaeon. Its description in RNAcentral is "partial 16S ribosomal RNA". It matches the Rfam family "Archaeal small subunit ribosomal RNA", at positions 477 to 747 of the family's 1478-position model. The record is from RNAcentral.